CCUACGGGAGGCAGCAGUAGGGAAUAUUGCUCAAUGGGGGAAACCCUGAAGCAGCAACGCCGCGUGAGGGAUGAAGGUUUUAGGAUUGUAAACUCCUUUUGUUAGGGAAGAUUAUGACGGUAUCUCACUAAGAAGCACCGGCUAACUCCGUGCCAGCAGCCGCGGUAAUACGGAGGGGGCAAGCGUUACUCGGAAUCACUGGGCGUAAAGAGUGCGUAGGAGGGGUAAUAAGUCAGAAGUGAAAUCCUGUAGCUUAACUACAGAACUGCAUUUGAAACUGUUACUCUGGAGUGUAGGAGAGGUAGGUGGAAUUCUUGGUGUAGGGGUAAAAUACGUAGAGAUCAAGAGGAAUACUCAUUGCGAAGGCGACCUACUGGAACAUUACUGACGCUGAGGCACGAAAGCGUGGGGAGCAAACAGGAUUAGAUACCCGUGUAGUC
RNAcentral lists this ribosomal RNA (440 nucleotides) under uncultured bacterium. Its description in RNAcentral is "partial 16S ribosomal RNA". It matches the Rfam family "Bacterial small subunit ribosomal RNA", at positions 338 to 795 of the family's 1533-position model. The record is from RNAcentral.